UACAGAGGGGGCAAGCGUUGUUCGGAAUUACUGGGCGUAAAGGGCGCGUAGGCGGCCUGUUAAGUCGGACGUGAAAUCCCUCGGCUCAACCGGGGAACUGCGUCCGAUACUGGCGGGCUUGAAUUCGGGAGAGGGAUGUGGAAUUCCAGGUGUAGCGGUGAAAUGCGUAGAUAUCUGGAGGAACACCGGUGGCGAAGGCGGCAUCCUGGACCGACAUUGACGCUGAGGCGCGAAAGCCAGGGGAGCAAGCGGG
RNAcentral lists this ribosomal RNA (253 nucleotides) under uncultured bacterium. RNAcentral describes it as "partial 16S ribosomal RNA". It matches the Rfam family "Bacterial small subunit ribosomal RNA", at positions 524 to 776 of the family's 1533-position model. The record is from RNAcentral.